GAUGAACGCUGGCGGCGUGCCUAAUACAUGCAAGUCGAGCGAACGGACGAGAAGCUUGCUUCUCUGAUGUUAGCGGCGGACGGGUGAGUAACACGUGGAUAACCUACCUAUAAGACUGGGAUAACUUCGGGAAACCGGAGCUAAUACCGGAUAAUAUUUUGAACCGCAUGGUUCAAAAGUGAAAGACGGUCUUGCUGCCACUUAUAGAUGGAUCCGCGCUACAUUAGCUAGUUGGUAAGGUAACGGCUUACCAAGGCAACGAUGCAUAGCCGACCUGAGAGGGUGAUCAGCCACACUGGAACUGAGACACGGUCCAGACUCCUACGGGAGGCAGCAGUAGGGAAUCUUCCGCAAUGGGCGAAAGCCUGACGGAGCAACGCCGCGUGAGUGAUGAAGGUCUUCGGAUCGUAAAACUCUGUUAUUAGGGAAGAACAUAUGUGUAAGUAACUGUGCACAUCUUGACGGUACCUAAUCAGAAAGCCACGGCUAACUACGUG
This 497-nucleotide ribosomal RNA is filed under the name uncultured bacterium. Its description in RNAcentral is "partial 16S ribosomal RNA". It matches the Rfam family "Bacterial small subunit ribosomal RNA", at positions 28 to 507 of the family's 1533-position model. The record is from RNAcentral.